ACGGGGCCGCACAAGCGGUGGAGUAUGUGGUUUAAUUCGAUGCAACGCGAAAAACCUUUACCUACCCUUGACAUGUCCGGAAUCCUGCAGAGAUGCGGGAGUGCCCGAAAGGGAAUCGGAACACAGGUGCUGCAUGGCUGUCGUCAGCUCGUGUCGUGAGAUGUUGGGUUAAGUCCCGCAACGAGCGCAACCCUUAUCAUUAGUUGCUACGCAAGGGCACUCUAAUGAGACUGCCGGUGACAAACCGGAGGAAGUGGGGAUGACGUCAAGUCCUCAUGGCCCUUAUGGGUAGGGCUUCACACGUCAUACAAUGGUCGGUACAGAGGGUUGCCAAGCCGCGAGGUGGAGCCAAUCCCAGAAAGCCGAUCGUAGUCCGGAUUGUUCUCUGCAACUCGAGAGCAUGAAGUCGGAAUCGCUAGUAAUCGCGGAUCAGCAUGUCGCGGUGAAUACGUUCCCGGGUCUU
This 463-nucleotide ribosomal RNA is filed under the name uncultured Thiobacillus sp. Its description in RNAcentral is "bacterial SSU rRNA". It matches the Rfam family "Bacterial small subunit ribosomal RNA", at positions 917 to 1381 of the family's 1533-position model. Lineage: Bacteria; Pseudomonadati; Pseudomonadota; Betaproteobacteria; Nitrosomonadales; Thiobacillaceae. The record is from RNAcentral.